GACGGAACGCUGGGCGGCGUGCCUAAUACAUGCAAGUCGAACGCAUUUUCGUUUCACCGUAGCUUGCUACACCGAAAGAAAAUGAGUGGCGAACGGGUGAGUAACACGUGGGUAACCUGCCCAUCAGCGGGGGAUAACACUUGGAAACAGGUGCUAAUACCGCAUAAUUCCAUCUACCGCAUGGUAGAUGGAUGAAAGGCGCUUUUGCGUCACUGAUGGAUGGACCCGCGGUGCAUUAGCUAGUUGGUGGGGUAACGGCUUACCAAGGCGAUGAUGCAUAGCCGAGUUGAGAGACUGAUCGGCCACAAUGGAACUGAGACACGGUCCAU
This 329-nucleotide ribosomal RNA is filed under the name uncultured bacterium. RNAcentral's name for it is "bacterial SSU rRNA". It matches the Rfam family "Bacterial small subunit ribosomal RNA", at positions 27 to 334 of the family's 1533-position model. The record is from RNAcentral.